RNA transcript from Dermacentor silvarum, 2624 nucleotides. It is a transcript of the gene named mitochondrial import inner membrane translocase subunit Tim22, with no coding region annotated. The record is from RefSeq and is a predicted model, not a curated record. The transcript has 5 exons. NCBI's taxonomy places the organism in Eukaryota, Metazoa, Arthropoda, Arachnida, Ixodida, Ixodidae.
GUAAGCUGGCAACGCAUGCGUCAUUUAAAAAUGGACUCUAGCAGCAGUGCGAGCACGCCGGACAGCGUGCGGGAAAUAAAUUUCUCGGAGUUGAUGGGUUUGCUUAUAGGACCGAACAAGCGAGUUAAGGAGAACGUUGUGUUUCCCCCAGGACUAUUUCCACACAGAAUCAAAACGAGGGAUGAACUGCGCGUGGAAGCCGUCUUUGAAAGCUGCGCCUUCAAGACCGGCAUCAGCUGUGUUCUCGGUGGCGCAUUCGGAGCAGCGCUUGGACUUUUCUCUGCGAGCGUGGAUCCAAAUGUCACCGGCGGUGGUGUGGACCCUUCGAAGAUGACAGUGCGGCAGGUUUUCACCGACAUGAAGUCGAAAUCCGUGUCUUACGCUAAGAACUUUGCCAUUGUCGGUGCCAUGUUCGCAGCCAUCGAGUGCACCAUCGAGUCGCAUCGUGCAAAGACAGACUGGAAAAAUGGCACCAUGGCUGGUGCACUAACUGGAGGACUAAUAGGAUUUCGAGGAAGGUUAUCAGCUGACUGGGUGCCCAUUGACUCUACAUUGCGAUGCCAUCUCCGGCUUUGUGUACCGGCUCACGUCUGGUCACCAGAGCUAGGCAGCAUGAGGAUUGGGUCAAUCCAGAGAUAGACCAUGAUGGCUUUCUUUUCUCUGCAAGAGAUUCAAGUUGUCCAUGAAGGAAAUACUCCACGUCCAUGGCAAGCACAAUUUUCUUGUGAUCCUAGACGAAAAACACUCUUCGGUUCCAUAGUACCCAAUUGGGUACAUUGCUUUUAUUUCUUUUCAGGGUUAGCUCAGCUGCAAUUACAUAAAAUAUCCAAUCCCCUAUUUCAAGCCUGAAGCAUGCGGAACUGUGUGAAAGUGAUCUGGUCUAAAGCCUGGUCUCCUGGGUGCUGCAGGCUUUGCGGCGUUUUCAACACUGAUUGACUACUACCUGCGAUGACACCUAGUCAAACUAAUAUGUACAUACUAUAGUAAAUAUGUUCCAUCGCAUAAUUCACCACGCACUGGUUCUUGUGUUCAUUAAUAGUGGCCAAAGCUCUGACUCUAACUGUGCAGCAAAGCAUUGUGCCAUCGUGUGUGUGGACUUUGUGUUGAAGAUACUCUAGACAGUUUGGUACAUUGAAAUGAAGGGUGUGGUGUGUCAAAUGUGAAGGGACCAGACGUCUUGAUGUAUGCAGUAUGGAGAUUUAUUGCGAUAGCAGUCAUGCGGAUGCACAAGGCGCAUUCACGCCGUCCGCACUGCCGCUGUCCCACGUGCGAAGGGUUGGGGGAGCUUCAAAGACGCGGAAUGCGUUUGGUUUCGUAAAUGACAAAGCCACUUUCACACACCAUCAGCACUCCGAUCAGCAAGAUUGGUGGCAGAACCAGUGCGGCAUUCUGCCUUGCACAGCUGUCAUGGGUGUUCCUGAUAAGCUGCUGUGUGUUAUGCUGUGGUCCGAGCAAUAAACGUUAAGCUAACAUUAUUUAAUAUUUCACUGGGCACUGACUAACGCCAGUAGUUUCCCAUCUGUUUCAUUUCCUGUGCCAUCAAUGUGCGACACCUGAAAUGCGCUGGUGAUCCCCUCCUACACACCAGCAUUGUGAGAUACCUGGUACAUAGAUAGCGGGACGCUGUUCCUUCUGCCCAACAGAGUUUCUUCGCGCACUGGGUCACUCCAACAUGUCGCACCCGCGUAUAGUUAGAACACUGUUAGAGAAGUUCAAGCGCAAUGUUAAGCCUUGCUAUCGCUGUCAAUGAUUUGCCCUUCGAGCAAAACUGACAAAUUUUUAUUUAUGUGGUCCUCAUUGUCUCGGUGACACCGUGUUUUGUUUGACUUUGGUUCUCGAAAGCCAGCGCAGAGCUGCCAUGCAGCCUUCCCUGCGCUACCACCUUAACAGGCCUACAAGCUGCCAUGCAUGCAACUGAAACCCAAACUAGGGCCAGGCCGUAGCGUACUGAAUCUCUGCAGCAGAAAUAAAUCUCAUAGUUUUGUGCAUUUAUACAGCAUCUACUGGGAUGAUUGCUCCUGAAGGCACAAACUCGAUUCCUCUAAACCCCCGUCGUUCUGCCAUGAAUCAGUCAAAUCGGUAAUUGAGACACUUGCCACUGCCACAGCAACUUGGUCUUUGUGACAGCAAAACCAAUAUAUGGUGCGUGAUAAGUUUUUAUUGCAAAAAGAAAAACAGAUAAACAGCGGACAAUCGAUGUCAUGAUUAUAUCACAGUAUCUUCCUCAUUAUUCAUCAUAAAUAUUACUACAGCAUCAUUGUUUUUAUCAACAAUUACAGCUUGUCGCAAAUGCACGUCUACAAAGUGAUUGUCAACACAACAUAGCAUCCGAGAGAAACAAAUUUAGUUGCGUCACAAACGUAGCAAUCGCUUCGCUUAAGUAUGUGCAGUUUUUCUCGUUUCACUUGUAUCAUUUAAUACAUACAGCAUCGCAAGAGAAGUCAUGGCACUUGACAAAAAGGAAGUGUGUUACGAGCAGUAGGGAUGUAUGCAUGUCUUUUGUACACUUUGUAUGCUAACAAAAAUAAGUGCUCAACUCUAACAAAACAAGGCACGUGGUGGCAAUACGACUUGUGUCCUUCAGCAGAGAGGCAGUGUGCUGCUGCGGUGCAUCACUAAAGUCA